Molecule: long non-coding RNA, 587 nt
Organism: Cyprinus carpio (common carp)
Lineage: Eukaryota; Metazoa; Chordata; Actinopteri; Cypriniformes; Cyprinidae
Source: Ensembl
UGCAGAUAGAUCAUAUACGAGCAGAGAGGCUUAUACAUUGUCUGUUUGUUUGUGUGAUUAUCUGCGAGCACGCUAGUGUGCAGGGAAGCAGCUUAUUUUAGUUCUGUUAGUACAGUAGAUGGAUAGCAGGCUGCGGGAGCGGAGAGGGCAGCUGUGGUGUUGUGGCUGCAGCAUGCUGUCCCAUUAGCACACCCCUGGGGAGGGACAGACCUAGAGGACAAGGAGACGAGCCUGGAUUAGCUCAUAAAUCACAGCCCGGGGGACCUACGAGAGGCUGUGACAUCAUCAUUUAGAGACAGAGUGAUACAUUGCACCAGCGUUCGCACGGCGGCACAGUCAUUAGGCAAAAGUGGCGGUAAUAUCACAGGCCUGGAAUGUCGGCCCACGUUUUUGGAGCUGCAUGAAAAUGUUUUGGACCACGGCUCCGAAUCUUGCCCGCCACACGUCAUCAAAGCCUUUAAUGUUGGCUGGCUUAGGCGUGCACACUGUAGCAGAUUUCUGGAUCAGUAUUUGAGCACAAUCUGUUGAAUAGCUGAGAGGCGCGAGUGAACGGGGGAGGCGGAGGAGUAAAAUUGAGUGUAAACAGA